RNAcentral lists this ribosomal RNA (253 nucleotides) under uncultured bacterium. Its description in RNAcentral is "partial 16S ribosomal RNA". It matches the Rfam family "Bacterial small subunit ribosomal RNA", at positions 524 to 776 of the family's 1533-position model. The record is from RNAcentral.
UACGUAGGGUGCAAGCGUUAAUCGGAAUCACUGGGCGUAAAGCGCGCGUAGGCGGUCUGUUAAGUGGGAUGUGAAAUCCCCGGGCUUAACCUGGGAAUUGCAUUUCAAACUGGCCGACUAGAGUACGGUAGAGGGAGGUAGAAUUUCCUGUGUAGCGGUGAAAUGCGUAGAUAUAGGAAGGAAUACCAGUGGCGAAGGCGGCCUCCUGGAUCGAUACUGACGCUGAGGCGCGAAAGCGUGGGGAGCAAACAGG